ACUCCUACGGGAGGCAGCAGUGGGAAUAUUGCACAAUGGGCGAAAGCCUGAUGCAGCAACGCCGCGUGCGGGAAGAAGGCCCUAGGGUUGUAAACCGCUUUCAGCAGGGAAGAAAAUGACGGUACCUGCAGAAGAAGGUGCGGCCAACUACGUGCCAGCAGCCGCGGUGACACGUAGGCACCAAGCGUUGUCCGGAUUUAUUGGGCGUAAAGAGCUCGUAGGCGGUUCAGUAAGUCGGGUGUGAAAACUCUGGGCUCAACCCAGAGACGCCACCCGAUACUGCUGUGACUUGAGUACGGUAGGGGAGCGGGGAAUUCCUGGUGUAGCGGUGAAAUGCGCAGAUAUCAGGAGGAACACCAGUGGCGAAGGCGCCGCUCUGGGCCGUAACUGACGCUGAGGAGCGAAAGCGUGGGUAGCAAACAGGAUUAGAUACCCUGGUAGGUC
Molecule: ribosomal RNA, 444 nt
Filed under: uncultured bacterium
Lineage: Bacteria
Description: bacterial SSU rRNA
Rfam family: Bacterial small subunit ribosomal RNA
Source: RNAcentral